UACGGAGGGUGCAAGCGUUAUCCGGAUUCACUGGGUUUAAAGGGUGCGGAGGUGGGCAGGUAAGUCAGUGGUGAAAUCUCCGGGCUUAACCCGGAAACUGCCGUUGAUACUAUUUGUCUUGAAUAUUGUGGAGGUAAGCGGAAUAUGUCAUGUAGCGGUGAAAUGCUUAGAUAUGACAUAGAACACCAAUUGCGAAGGCAGCUUACUACACAAUGAUUGACACUGAGGCACGAAAGCGUGGGGAUCAAACAGGA
Molecule: ribosomal RNA, 254 nt
Filed under: uncultured bacterium
Lineage: Bacteria
Description: partial 16S ribosomal RNA
Rfam family: Bacterial small subunit ribosomal RNA
Source: RNAcentral